Non-coding RNA from Triticum aestivum (bread wheat), 125 nucleotides. Lineage: Eukaryota; Viridiplantae; Streptophyta; Magnoliopsida; Poales; Poaceae. The record is from Rfam.
CUAGUACUCCCUCCAUCCGAAAGUACUUGUCGAAGAAAUAGAUAAAAAUGGAUGUACCUAGAACUAAGAUAUGUCUAGAUGCAUCCAUUCCUCCGACAAGUAUUUCCGGACGGAGGGAGUACAUA